Molecule: ribosomal RNA, 464 nt
Filed under: Vreelandella stevensii
Lineage: Bacteria; Pseudomonadati; Pseudomonadota; Gammaproteobacteria; Oceanospirillales; Halomonadaceae
Description: partial 16S ribosomal RNA
Rfam family: Bacterial small subunit ribosomal RNA
Source: RNAcentral
CUACGGGGUGCAGCAGUGGGGAAUAUUGGACAAUGGGCGAAAGCCUGAUCCAGCCAUGCCGCGUGUGUGAAGAAGGCCUUCGGGUUGUAAAGCACUUUCAGUGGGGAAGAAAGCCUUGGGGCUAAUACCCUCGAGGAAGGACAUCACCCACAGAAGAAGCACCGGCUAACUCCGUGCCAGCAGCCGCGGUAAUACGGAGGGUGCGAGCGUUAAUCGGAAUUACUGGGCGUAAAGCGCGCGUAGGCGGUCUGAUAAGCCGGUUGUGAAAGCCCCGGGCUCAACCUGGGAACGGCAUCCGGAACUGUCAGGCUAGAGUGCAGGAGAGGAAGGUAGAAUUCCCGGUGUAGCGGUGAAAUGCGUAGAGAUCGGGAGGAAUACCAGUGGCGAAGGCGGCCUUCUGGACUGACACUGACGCUGAGGUGCGAAAGCGUGGGUAGCAAACAGGAUUAGAUACCCCGGUAGUC